CGACAAUCGGUUUAGGUUCAGGUACCUCAUUCAAGUUUGAACAUAGAACGGCGGGAACUAACGUAACGACUCGCGCAGGACGCCGCGGCUGGCUAACGGAGCAGACGUAGCGGUCUGAGGCGCCGCCGCCGUUCCCCCUGAGACCCAUAAUGAAUGCAGAGUGGGCAUCGCUGUGCGUGCGGACUGGGCGCGUGCAGAAGGAACGUUCCGGACUCCGAUUCCCAGCUAACGGCAAGCUCCACUACGGAUUUCCAUGGCAGCGAAAGCUGAGCAGCUCUGACUG
Long non-coding RNA from Anguilla anguilla (European eel), 283 nucleotides. RefSeq lists it as uncharacterized. Lineage: Eukaryota; Metazoa; Chordata; Actinopteri; Anguilliformes; Anguillidae. The transcript has 3 exons. The record is from RefSeq and is a predicted model, not a curated record.